UACGUAGGGGGCAAGCGUUAUCCGGAUUUACUGGGUGUAAAGGGAGCGUAGACGGCAGUGCAAGUCUGAGGUGAAAGGCGGGGGCCCAACCCCCGGACUGCUUUGGAAACUGUGCUGCUGGAGUGCAGGAGAGGCAAGUGGAAUUCCUAGUGUAGCGGUGAAAUGCGUAGAUAUUAGGAGGAACACCAGUGGCGAAGGCGGCUUGCUGGACUGUAACUGACGUUGAGGCUCGAAAGCGUGGGGAGCAAACAGG
RNAcentral lists this ribosomal RNA (253 nucleotides) under uncultured bacterium. RNAcentral describes it as "partial 16S ribosomal RNA". It matches the Rfam family "Bacterial small subunit ribosomal RNA", at positions 524 to 776 of the family's 1533-position model. The record is from RNAcentral.